Molecule: ribosomal RNA, 301 nt
Filed under: uncultured bacterium
Lineage: Bacteria
Description: partial 16S ribosomal RNA
Rfam family: Bacterial small subunit ribosomal RNA
Source: RNAcentral
CAGUCGCCGCGGUAAUACGUAGGUGGUAAGCGUUGUCCGGAAUUAUUGGGCGUAAAGGGCUCGCAGGCGGUUUCUUAAGUCUGAUGUGAAAGCCCCCGGCUCAACCGGGGAGGGUCAUUGGAAACUGGGAAACUUGAGUGCAGAAGAGGAGAGUGGAAUUCCACGUGUAGCGGUGAAAUGCGUAGAGAUGUGGAGGAACACCAGUGGCGAAGGCGACUCUCUGGUCUGUAACUGACGCUGAGGAGCGAAAGCGUGGGGAGCGAACAGGAUUAGAUACCCCCGUAGUCCCUGUCUCUUAUAC